AUUGAACGCUGGCGGCAGGCCUAACACAUGCAAGUCGAACGGUAACAGGAAGCAGCUUGCUGCUUUGCUGACGAGUGGCGGACGGGUGAGUAAUGUCUGGGAAACUGCCUGAUGGAGGGGGAUAACUACUGGAAACGGUAGCUAAUACCGCAUAACGUCGCAAGACCAAAGAGGGGGACCUUAGGGCCUCUUGCCAUCGGAUGUGCCCAGAUGGGAUUAGCUAGUAGGUGGGGUAACGGCUCACCUAGGCGACGAUCCCUAGCUGGUCUGAGAGGAUGACCAGCCACACUGGAACUGAGACACGGUCCAGACUCCUACGGGAGGCAGCAGUGGGGAAUAUUGCACAAUGGGCGCAAGCCUGAUGCAGCCAUGCCGCGUGUAUGAAGAAGGCCUUCGGGUUGUAAAGUACUUUCAGCGGGGAGGAAGGGAGUAAAGUUAAUACCUUUGCUCAUUGACGUUACCCGCAGAAGAAGCACCGGCUAACUCCAUG
Molecule: ribosomal RNA, 490 nt
Filed under: uncultured bacterium
Lineage: Bacteria
Description: partial 16S ribosomal RNA
Rfam family: Bacterial small subunit ribosomal RNA
Source: RNAcentral